Molecule: unclassified non-coding RNA, 332 nt
Filed under: soil metagenome
Description: partial contains 5.8S ribosomal RNA, internal transcribed spacer 2, and large subunit ribosomal RNA
Rfam family: 5.8S ribosomal RNA (bases 1-120)
Source: RNAcentral
GAUGAAGAACGUAGCGAAAUGCGAUAAGUAAUGUGAAUUGCAGAGUUCAGUGAAUCAUCGAAUCUUUGAACGCACAUUGCGCCCGCCAGUAUUCUGGCGGGCAUGCCUGUCCGAGCGUCAUUUCAACCAUCAAGCCCCGGGCUUGUGUUGGGGACCUGCGUCCGACGCAGGCCCUGAAAACCAGUGGCGGGCUCGCUGUCCACACCGAGCGUAGUAACUAACCUCGCUAUGGAGUGGCGCGGGCGCCUGCCGUAAAACCCCCAAUUUCACAAGGUUGACCUCGGAUCAGGUAGGAAUACCCGCUGAACUUAAGCAUAUCAAUAAGCGGAGGA